This 608-nucleotide ribosomal RNA is filed under the name uncultured archaeon. RNAcentral describes it as "bacterial SSU rRNA". It matches the Rfam family "Archaeal small subunit ribosomal RNA", at positions 1 to 596 of the family's 1478-position model. The record is from RNAcentral.
UUCCGGUUGAUCCUGCCGGACCCGACUGCUAUCCGGGUGGGACUAAGCCAUGCAAGUCGAAUGGGAUACCUAAAUUUCCCAUGGCGAACUGCUCAGUAACACGUGAUCAACUUACCCUGUGGAGAAAAAUAACUUCGGGAAACUGAAGAUAAUUCUUCAUAAUUGAGAAUGCUUGGAAAGGUUUCUCAAUAAAAGAACAUUUCAAAUGGGAAAUGUAUCGCCGCAGGAUAGGAUCGCGUCCGAUUAUGGCAGUUGGUGAGGUAAUGGCUCACCAAACCUAUUAUCGGUAAGGGCCGUGAGAGCGGAAGCCCUGAGAUGGGUACUGAGACAAUGACCCAGGUCUUACGAGACGCAGCAGGCGCGAAACCUUCACAAUGCACGAAAGUGAGAUGAGGUUACCCGGAGUGCUACAAAGUAGCUGUGGCAGGUGAGUAAGGUUCCCUGCUAGGAAGGAGAGGGCAAGGCUGGUGCCAGCCGCCGCGGUAAAACCAGCUCUUCAAGUGGUCGGGAUUAUUAUUGGGCUUAAAGUGUUCGUAGCCUGUUUAGUAAGUUCUUGGUUAAAUCGAAUAGCUUAACUAUCUGUCUGCUAAGAAUACUACUAUACUAGG